RNAcentral lists this long non-coding RNA (424 nucleotides) under Rosa chinensis. RNAcentral's name for it is "sRNA RchiOBHm_Chr7g0223321". Lineage: Eukaryota; Viridiplantae; Streptophyta; Magnoliopsida; Rosales; Rosaceae. The record is from RNAcentral.
ACUCUCUCUCUCUUCAAUAGCAAGCAAACACUGCAGUGGCCACGGAGGAGAGAGGGAGUGUGUGUGUGAAUAGCCGCCCAGAAUUUCAACACAAACAAACAUGGCAUCAUCAUCAAGAGCCACCGCCAACUCCCACAGACCCGCCACCGCCCACGCCAACGGGCCCACCGCAAACGGCGACCACCACAGGCCCACCGCAAACGGCGACCACCACAGGCCGUCAAACCACAGCCACAGCAGGGGCAGCGGCAACGGGCACCAGCACUACUACCCCCAACGACGCCGUAUCGGUCGUCGUCCUCGUCGGCUUCGUUCAGAGGCUGCUGCUGCUGCCUCUUCCUGCUCUUCUCCCUCCUGGCGCUCCUGGUCCUGGCCGUCGUGCUCGUGAUAAUCCUGGCCGUGAAACCCAAGAAGCCGCAGUUCG